Molecule: ribosomal RNA, 497 nt
Filed under: uncultured bacterium
Lineage: Bacteria
Description: partial 16S ribosomal RNA
Rfam family: Bacterial small subunit ribosomal RNA
Source: RNAcentral
GAUGAACGCUGGCGGCGUGCCUAACACAUGCAAGUCGAGCGGAUGGACGAGACUCUCGCCUGUCUUCUGUUAGCGACGGACGGGUGAUUAACACGUGGCUAACCGACCUAUAAGACUGGGAUACCUUCGCGAAACCGUAUCUAAUACCGGAUCAUAUUUUGAACCGCAGGGUUCAUAAGUGAACAACGUUCUUGCUGACACUAAGAGAUGGUUCCGGGCUGCAUUAGCUAGUUGGUAAGGUAACGGCCUACCAAGGCAACGAUGCAUAGCCGAUCUGAGAGGGUGAUCAGCCACACUGGAACUGAGACACGGUCCAGACUCCUACGGGAGGCAGCAGUGGGGAAUAUUGCGCAAUGGGCGAAAGCCUGACGCAGCCACGCCGCGUGUGUGAUGAAGGUCUUCGGAUCGUAAAGCUCUUUUAUUAGGGAAGAACAGAAGUGUAAUUAACUCUGGAUGUCUUGACGGUACCUAAAGAGAAAGCACCGGCUAACUACGUG